Molecule: long non-coding RNA, 640 nt
Organism: Penaeus monodon (black tiger shrimp)
Lineage: Eukaryota; Metazoa; Arthropoda; Malacostraca; Decapoda; Penaeidae
Exons: 2
Source: RefSeq, a predicted model, not a curated record
GUUUCCGCUGUUCCCGAAGUACAGCUGACCCCCUUGCUCAUUUUGAGACAUUAUAUCUGCAUUUGUACGCCAUCAUUCAGUAUUAGCCAUAUUCUUUGACCUAGAAAAGCAUGACACCACAUGACCGUACCAUAUUCUUCAGCAAACGUCCUGCCUGAGUAUACAUGGAAACAUUGGAACCAACUCCAGUGAUACAGGUGACUCCCAUUACUUAUGAAGAUGCCUGUACCAACAGUGAACCUCGACAGAGACCACAACAUGCAGCGGCUAGGCGAGCUUGAAGAAUCUCGUGCGAAAUUAAUCCUUGAAGAUUUCUGCAAAUGUUUGCAACUUUGUUGUGGGGAUGUGUGAUAUUUUUAACAUUAAUGUAGAAAUUCAGUAAUGUAUGCCUUUUUUAUGCAAAUUAUCAAUUCAAUUUAUAUGUACCUAGAGAUAAAGAAGCAAAACCAUUACCAAGUUACAAUUUUAAACGAUGUAUCUUUUGAAAGGUGUACAGGAAAUAUGUGUUGAUCUCUCAAUCUUUUCAUUUGAGCAGUUCAGUUAAUUUUGUUUGACUUGAAUUUUUUUAUUCCAUUAGUGAUUUGGUAUGUAAGAUUAUAAAUUUGGAAUAAUAAACAGUGGUGUAACUGUUUUUAUUGUA